This 539-nucleotide long non-coding RNA is filed under the name Elaeis guineensis (African oil palm). RNAcentral describes it as "long non-coding RNA (EGUI_LNC011185)". Lineage: Eukaryota; Viridiplantae; Streptophyta; Magnoliopsida; Arecales; Arecaceae. The record is from RNAcentral.
UAGGCAUAAAAGAUGACAUUAUGCUUUCAACACCCGGUAAAACUUUAAUUUUAGAAGUUUUAGAUACAAUAGCAAUCAAUUAUCUUCCAGGGGGUUAACUGCAUAAUUCAAAAAAAAAAUUUCCAACCUCUCCGAAAGCCCAACACCGCCACCAAGGCUGCCCACUCAGCCGGUCAAGACACCGCCCGCGCCGCGGUGGGGGCGGCCACCACUCACCCCCGCUAGCGCGCGCCGCAGCGUAAGCCGCCUACCCCUAGGCGGUGCCCCGAUCCACGUCCCCACUAUCCAACAAAAAUAUGCCUCCUUUCCCCCACCUCCUCCUCACCCCAACCACCACCACCUCCUCCUCCAAACCCUCCUUCCUCAUGGCUUCCUCCUCCGCCGCCGACGCCGACGCCGACGCCUCCAAAGACCCGCCCUCCUCUCCCUCUCCUCCCCCCUCCCCCUCCGCCCCCACUCCCCCUCCGCCCCCGUCCUCUCCGCCGCCUCACCCUCCCCUUCCCCAUCCCCGGCCCGAUCCCCGUCCCACCUCCCUCGNN